GUUUACGGCCAUACCACCCUGAAUGUGCCCCAUCUUGUCUGAUCUCGGAAGCUAAGCAGGGUCAGGCGUGGUUAGUACUUGGAUGGGAGACCACCUGGGACUACUAGGUACUGUAGGCU
This 119-nucleotide ribosomal RNA is filed under the name Aotus nancymaae (Ma's night monkey). The record is from RNAcentral. Lineage: Eukaryota; Metazoa; Chordata; Mammalia; Primates; Aotidae.